Molecule: ribosomal RNA, 497 nt
Filed under: uncultured bacterium
Lineage: Bacteria
Description: partial 16S ribosomal RNA
Rfam family: Bacterial small subunit ribosomal RNA
Source: RNAcentral
GACGAACGCUGGCGGCGUGCCUAAUACAUGCAAGUAGAACGCUGAAGAGAGGAGCUUGCUCUUCUUGGAUGAGUUGCGAACGGGUGAGUAACGCGUAGGUAACCUGCCUUGUAGCGGGGGAUAACUAUUGGAAACGAUAGCUAAUACCGCAUAACAAUGGAUGACACAUGUCAUUUAUUUGAAAGGGGCAAUUGCUCCACUACAAGAUGGACCUGCGUUGUAUUAGCUAGUAGGUGAGGUAAUGGCUCACCUAGGCGACGAUACAUAGCCGACCUGAGAGGGUGAUCGGCCACACUGGGACUGAGACACGGCCCAGACUCCUACGGGAGGCAGCAGUAGGGAAUCUUCGGCAAUGGGGGCAACCCUGACCGAGCAACGCCGCGUGAGUGAAGAAGGUUUUCGGAUCGUGAAGCUCUGUUGUAAGUCAAGAACGGGUGUGAGAGUGGAAAGUUCACACUGUGACGGUAGCUUACCAGAAAGGGACGGCUAACUACGUG